AUCCUGGCUCAGGACGAACGCUGGCGGCGUGCCUAACACAUGCAAGUCGAGCGGGGAAUGAUUGGUAGCUUGCUACUGGUUAUUUCUAGCGGCGGACGGGUGAGUAACGCGUGAGCAACCUGCCUUUAUCAGGGGGGAUAACGCAUCGAAAGAUGUGCUAAUACCGCGUAAGACCACAGCUUCACAUGGAGCAGAGGUCAAAGGAGCAAUCCGGAUAAAGAUGGGCUCGCG
This 231-nucleotide ribosomal RNA is filed under the name uncultured bacterium. Its description in RNAcentral is "partial 16S ribosomal RNA". It matches the Rfam family "Bacterial small subunit ribosomal RNA", at positions 16 to 235 of the family's 1533-position model. The record is from RNAcentral.